Ficedula albicollis (Collared flycatcher) is the source of this 46-nucleotide regulatory RNA element. It matches the Rfam family "Histone 3' UTR stem-loop". From Rfam's summary of the family: The mRNAs of metazoan histone genes lack a poly-A tail. 3' end processing occurs at a site between a highly conserved stem-loop (modelled by this family) and a purine rich region around 20 nts downstream (the histone downstream element, or HDE). The record is from Rfam. Lineage: Eukaryota; Metazoa; Chordata; Aves; Passeriformes; Muscicapidae.
CCAAAGGCUCUUUUAAGAGCCACCCACAUACUCUAUAAAAGAGCUU